GGUAGUCCACGCCGUAAACGAUGUCGACUUGGAGGUUGUGCCCUUGAGGCGUGGCUUCCGGAGCUAACGCGUUAAGUCGACCGCCUGGGGAGUACGGCCGCAAGGUUAAAACUCAAAUGAAUUGACGGGGGCCCGCACAAGCGGUGGAGCAUGUGGGUUAAUUCGAUGCAACGCGAAGAACCUUACCUACUCUUGACAUCCAGAGAACUUAGCAGAGAUGCUUUGGUGCCUUCGGGAACUCUGAGACAGGUGCUGCAUGGCUGUCGUCAGCUCGUGUUGUGAAAUGUUGGGUUAAGUCCCGCAACGAGCGCAACCCUUAUCCUUUGUUGCCAGCGGUUAGGCCGGGAACUCAAAGGAGACUGCCAGUGAUAAACUGGAGGAAGGUGGGGAUGACGUCAAGUCAUCAUGGCCCUUACGAGUAGGGCUACACACGUGCUACAAUGGCGCAUACAAAGAGAAGCGACCUCGCGAGAGCAAGCGGACCUCAUAAAGUGCGUCGUAGUCCGGAUUGGAGUCUGCAACUCGACUCCAUGAAGUCGGAAUCGCUAGUAAUCGUAGAUCAGAAUGCUACGGUGAAUACGUUCCCGGGCCUUGUACACACCGCCCGUCACACCAUGGGAGUGGGUUGCAAAAGAAGUAGGUAGCUUAACCUUCGGGAGGGCGCUUACCACUUUGUGAUUCAUGACUGGGGUGAAGUCGUAACAAGGUAACCGUAGGGGAACCYKSC
Molecule: ribosomal RNA, 727 nt
Filed under: uncultured bacterium
Lineage: Bacteria
Description: bacterial SSU rRNA
Rfam family: Bacterial small subunit ribosomal RNA
Source: RNAcentral